GUCUUGUAGGGUCUGUUCACUGGGUUUUUCACCGCUGGACCAUUUAAUAUGGUUGGUUCGCUGGAAAUGACCGCCCCCCGAGAGCGAAACCAGUCAUCAAAAUGACGCACAUUGAAUGACUCGCGGAUUGUUUCUUAUCAGGGGUUUGCCCCGCUGGCUAUCAAUUAAGUUAUUCCUUCCUGUUAGUAAGUUGGUCCUUCAAGAGGAAAUGCCAUUCGACAGAAUACCUCCAUAGAAAAAUAGGUUUUAUUUGAAGUCAAAAUCACAGAAGAUGCAUGUUAUUAGUAAAGAGACACACAAGAGACAAUGCAAAACAUUGACUUUAUAUUGUAUCAUCAUGAGGACCUCCAAGCAAAACAUAACAAAUUGAAAGCAAUUGCUUGCCAACGAAUGUAGGUGUGACAGAUUUAAACACAUGUUUGGAAACUCCCAAAACUUACUUCUGUAUUCUAGAGAAGCAAAAGCAAAAGGGAAGCAAACCCAUGACUAAGAUACUGUGAGUGGAAUGCAGGUCAGGCCUGAAUGUCGAAUAUUAUCAACAAAUAUUUCCUUUGCGUGUGACAUAAAAACAUUCCUGUUCUUCCAUCAUUCUGAUAAACAGGAAGUCUCUUUGUGGACAGACUGAUCUUCAUGGGGUUGUACAAUCAAGAGGGAGGAGAAUGUGAACCAGAGGACGUGUUCAGGUUUAGCAUAGUCUAUUAUUGCGUUAUUGUUUGAUAAAAAAGAGGGAGUAGUUUUACAUGGUAUUUGUAACUUUUGGGUGUAUAGCGGUUGCGAUUUGCUCCUUUCAGAGUAAGACGGUUGGACGAGUGUCUGCUAGCGAAGAUAUUCUACAGCAAAUGAAAAAAACCGAGAUGUACAUAAUGAAAAAAAAAAAGGGAUUUUAUUGAGACGGACUCAUCUGAACAGUCUAU
Molecule: long non-coding RNA, 914 nt
Organism: Gadus macrocephalus (Pacific cod)
Lineage: Eukaryota; Metazoa; Chordata; Actinopteri; Gadiformes; Gadidae
Exons: 2
Source: RefSeq, a predicted model, not a curated record